This 874-nucleotide ribosomal RNA is filed under the name uncultured eukaryote. RNAcentral describes it as "SSU rRNA". It matches the Rfam family "Eukaryotic small subunit ribosomal RNA", at positions 570 to 1467 of the family's 1831-position model. The record is from RNAcentral.
GCAGCCGCGGUAAUUCCAGCUCCAAUAGCGUAUAUUAAAGUUGUUGUGGUUAAAAAGCUCGUAGUUGGAUCUCAACAGCCUUGAAGCGGUUAACUUUGUAGUUUUACUGCUUUAUAGGCUGUGCUUUUGCUGGAGGUUUAGGGGUGCUCUUGAUCGAGUGUCUCUGGAUGCCAGCAGGUUUACUUUGAAAAAAUUAGAGUGCUCAAAGCAGGCUAAAAUGCCUGAAUAUUCGUGCAUGGAAUAAUAGAAUAGGAUGUCGAUCCUAUUUUGUUGGUUUUCGGGACUCGACAUAAUGAUAAAUAGGGACAGUCGGGGGCAUUUGUAUUCAAACGACAGAGGUGAAAUUCUUGGACCGUUUGAAGACAAACUACUGCGAAAGCAUUUGCCAAGAAUGUUUUCAUUAAUCAAGAACGAAAGUUAGAGGUUCGAAGGCGAUUAGAUACCGCCCUAGUUCUAACCAUAAACGAUGCCAGCUAGCGAUCUGCCUGCGUUUUUACUGUAGACUGGGCAGGAAGCUUCCGGGAAACCAAAGCAUUUGGGUUCCAGGGGAAGUAUGGUUGCAAAGCUGAAACUUAAAGGAAUUGACGGAAGGGCACCACCAGGAGUGGAGCCUGUGGCUUAAUUUGACUCAACACGGGAAAUCUCACCAGGCCCGGACACUGGAAGGAUUGACAGAUUGAUAGCUCUUUCUUGAUUCGGUGGGUGGUGGUGCAUGGCCGUUCUUAGUUGGUGGAGUGAUUUGUCUGGUUAAUUCCGAUAACGAACGAGACUCUGUCCUGCUAAAUAGUUUCUACUUCUCUUUUGAGUAGAAAUUUCUUCUUAGAGGGACUGGUGACUCUUAGUCACACGAGAUUGAGCAAUAACAGGUCUGUGA